UAUAGAUAGUUAUUACUAUAUAACAGUUAUAUAAUUAUACCUAAAUUCAAAUUCAGUGUUUGAUUUGAUAUAUUUGAAUUCAACUCUUACAGUUAAAAACACACGAGGAGGCUCAACUGCAGUAAUUAGAACCACGUCCAACUAACUAUAGAAAUUGAAAAAAUUAACUUUAAACAAAGUGUAACCUUACCUAUGUAUUGCCACCCUAUAUAUAAAGUGAUAAAAUUUUAUAAAUACAUUACUCAACUGCAAACAAUCAAACAAUUAAUUCACAGUCGCAACAUUUUCUAUUGCAUCCAACCAAUAAAUCCUUAGUUGCAUCGAGUUAAUCAAGUCCUUGAUACAUCCACGUCGUAUAUGAUACUGGAGCAUCCGAAUCGAUGAUCAAUAUCGGUAAAUAUAAUUUGCGGUACUUAUUCCGUAAUGUUUCGACAUUAUUUAUUAAAUUAAGUUUGGUGCAUUUCAAAUAGUAUUCUCGCUCAACUCUGCAUAUAUAUUUAAAACACUAGUUUUGAUUAAUUGUGUGAACAACUUACAUGCAAUAAUGCUCAUAGAUAAUUUGCGGUACUUGUGCCCUAGAUUAGGUUCGAGACGAAAGUCCACAUUCUAGGCCUACCAAAACACAAAAAAAGGAAAAGGAAAAGGAAAAAAGAAAGAUACAAUCAUCGAUUGCGAAAGCGAUAUGAAUAUUACUCUUAGAAGAUAACAAAGUCGCUAUAGCAGAAGAACAGUACUUUUAUGUCAGAAUCUACAGGGGAGGGAGAGCCUUCAGUAGUAGCUACUAACGUUCGGACGGACGAGGGGUGAAACCACUAGCAUGCACGUAUGAAUGAUACGGCCGCGGAGUGCAAGCAUUUAGCGAGAAAAUAUUCCAGACAACAGUGAUAGUAGCUCAGAUGUCUGCGGUUAAUGACAAAGUUUUAUUGACCGGUUGGGACGGUAGUUUUUUCAGAUGAUCCUUUUCUUUUAUGCGACUGGUUUGGUUAUAGAUAGUUGUUACUAUAUAACAGUUAUAUAAUUAUACCUAAAUUCAAAUUCAGUGUUUGAUUUGAUAUAUUUGAAUUCAAUACUUACAGUUAAAAACACACGAGGAGGCUCAACUGCAGUAAUUAGAACCACGUCCAACUAACUAUAGAAAUUGAAAAAAAUAACUUUAAACAAAGUGUAACCUUACCUAUGUAUUGCCACCCUAUAUAUAAAGUGAUAAAAUUUUAUAAAUACAUUACUCAACUGCAAACAAUCAAACAAUUAAUUCACAGUCGCAACGUUUUCUACUGCAUCUAACCAGCAAAUCCUUAGUUGCAUCGAGUUAAUCAAGUCCUUGAUACAUCCACGUCGUAUAUGAUACUGGAGCAUCCGAAUCGAUGAUCAAUAUCGGUAAAUAUAAUUUGCGGUACUUAUUCCGUAAUGUUUCGACAUUAUUUAUUAAAUUAAGUUUGGUGCAUUUCAAAUAGUAUUCUCGCUCAACUCUGCACAUUUAAAACACUAGUUUUGAU
Molecule: long non-coding RNA, 1496 nt
Filed under: Ananas comosus (pineapple)
Lineage: Eukaryota; Viridiplantae; Streptophyta; Magnoliopsida; Poales; Bromeliaceae
Description: long non-coding RNA (ACOM_LNC001456)
Source: RNAcentral